GGGUGAAUCUUCCGCAAUGGACGAAAGUCUGACGGAGCAACGCCGCGUGAGCGAUGAAGGCCUUCGGGUCGUAAAGCUCUGUUGUUAGGGAAGAACAAGUGCUAGUUGAAUAAGCUGGCACCUUGACGGUACCUAACCAAAAAGCCACGGCUAACUACGUGCCACCACCCGCGGUAUUUAAAAAAA
Molecule: ribosomal RNA, 186 nt
Filed under: uncultured Bacillus sp.
Lineage: Bacteria; Bacillati; Bacillota; Bacilli; Caryophanales; Bacillaceae
Description: partial 16S ribosomal RNA
Rfam family: Bacterial small subunit ribosomal RNA
Source: RNAcentral